Molecule: long non-coding RNA, 2111 nt
Filed under: Marmota monax (woodchuck)
Lineage: Eukaryota; Metazoa; Chordata; Mammalia; Rodentia; Sciuridae
Source: RNAcentral
AGGGUAAUUAAUAUGUCUACCUUCUUAAACACUUAUCAUUUCCUUGUAUUGGGAAACCCUGAACUCUUUUCUUUCAGUGCUUUAUAGGAUGAUAAUAGAGACGCCUUCUUUUGCAAUAGAACAUUAGACCUAUUUGUCUUAACUUAAUUGUAGUACUUGAUCUCACCUCCAUCUGUCCUCUCUCCCCAUUAUCCUUCUUAAUGUCUAGUGCCCACUGUUCUAUGCUCAACUGUGAGUUAGACUUUUUUAGCUUUCACCUAUGAGCAGGAACACAUGGCAUUUGUCUUUCUGUGCCUGGCUUAUUUCAUUUAACACAUGUCCUCCAAGAUCGUCCAUGAUGCUGCAAAUGUAAAUGUCCUCUUUUAAAGAAACAAUGACAUUAAAAAAAAAAGUUAGCAAGACUGCUGUUGAUUUCUCAAAUUUUUUGUUGCUAUCAUUAGAAAUUUCUUGUAUGCUGUAAUCCAAACUCUAGGAAUUACUUGAUCUGAGAAUUACAUAAAAAAUGCAGUUUAGUAGGAAUUAAAGAAGGAAGGUCUCAUGUUGCAAUGACCAUGGUGACCUUACUUGGUUCUCCUGGAGUCUGCGUUAAUGAUAAUCAUUGGUCACUUAUUGCCUAGUACUUGUGCGUACUAGGCCAAUAUUGCCAGGGCUUGUUGAGAGGUCAAAAGGAAUUUCCCCUGAUGAUAUGAUCUGAAUGAACUCCAUAGGAUGAAAAGUGAAUCAUCAUGAAGUCGGGAGCAAGGAAACCUGGUAAAAGAUGGUGAAAUUGUCCCAUAGGGUGGUGCAUACCUGUGAUCUUGGCCACUUGGGAAGCUGAGGCAGGAGAAUCACAAGUUGGAGGCCAACCUUGGCAGUUUAGUGAGACCCUAUCUCAAAAUAAAUAAAAUAAAACAAAAUAAAAAAAAAAAAACAGGGGAUGUAACUCAGUGGUAAAGCACCUCUGAGUUUAGUUCCCAGUACCAAAAAAAAAAAAAAAAAAAAAAAGAAAAUAAAGAAAAAGAUGUUAAAUUUAUUCACUGGUAGAUGAAAAUGAGGCAAAACAAGGGGUUUCUAUUGGAAAGAAUUUAAGUUCUUGCCUAGAGUCUGUCAUUAGGGAACUUAUACGACCUUAGGUAAGGCACUUAAUUUUUCUGACUUUUUCUGGAUUUCCCAUCUUGGACGAGGGCCCCACAAGUCCAAUGAGACAGCUGUCUCUGAUGCUGCCCUUUCCUCUUCCCUCCAUUGGGCUACCCAGUCCUGUCGAUUCAAUUUUGGAAAUGCUUCUGGAGUCAGCCAGUCUCUUCCCAUUCCAGUGCACUCUUCACCCAGUGGCUGGAAUAAUCUUGCUAAAACAUAAAUCUGAUCAUGUCGCCUACUUCUGUGAAAAACCUUCAGUGGCUUCCUCAUUGCCCAGAGGGUGAAGUCCGAAGGCCUUGGCAAGGCGUUCUUGGCUGGAUCCUGGGGCCCUGCCUCUCUUCUCAGUCUCUGCCCUUCACCGCCACUCACCCGUGGCUGGGACACUCGGGAUGGCUCAUUCUUCUCUGAGCACAAACUGCUGACCCACCUCCCUGGAAUUUUCUUUCUUUCCUGUUCCACCUGGCAAAAUCAAACGGAUCUUUUAAGGCUUCUCUGAAUCAUCUCUGGAAGCUUGUCCAGGCUCUAGAGAAAGUCCACUCCCCCUUCUCUCUUCCUCACUGUUCUGUGGAUCUGUUGAAGGCAGGGCCUGUGCUUGGUCUGUCUUGGAGCCCUCACACCCAGCAUGGGGCUUAGCACAUGGCAUGAGCUCAACCGUUUUUUGUUGAGUUAAAAAAAAAGGUUGAAAGAGGGAAAAUUUAAAGCAGAGGUGUUUUACUCAGCUUUUUCGCUGCGGUGACUAAAAGACCUGACCAGAAUAAUUUUAAGGGAGAAAAAAUUUAUAUAGGGGCUCACAGUUUCAGAGGUCUCAGUCCAUACAAGGCUGACUCCAUUCCUUGGGGCUUGAGGUGAGGCAGAACAUCAUGGUGGAAGAGUGUGGCAGAGGGAAGCAGCUUACAUGAUGAUCAGGAAGCAGAGACUCCACUCACCAGAUACAAAAGAUGUACCCCAAAGCCACGCCCCCAAUGCCCCCCUCUCCAGCCACACCCUACCUACCU